RNAcentral lists this ribosomal RNA (585 nucleotides) under uncultured fungus. Its description in RNAcentral is "eukaryotic LSU rRNA". The stretch from base 179 to 332 matches the Rfam family "5.8S ribosomal RNA". Lineage: Eukaryota; Fungi. The record is from RNAcentral.
CGUACAGGUUUCCGUAGGUGAACCUGCGGNAGGAUCAUUAAUGAAUUUUAGGACGUUCUUUUUAGAAGUCCGACCCUUUCAUUUUCUUACACUGUGCACACACUUCUUUUUUACACACACUUUUAACACCUUAGUAUAAGAACGUAAUAGUCUCUUAAUUGAGCAUAAAUAAAAACAAAACUUUCAGCAACGGAUCUCUUGGCUCUCGCAUCGAUGAAGAACGCAGCGAAUUGCGAUAAGUAAUGUGAAUUGCAGAAUUCAGUGAAUCAUCGAAUCUUUGAACGCACCUUGCACUCUUUGGUAUUCCGAAGAGUAUGUCUGUUUGAGUGUCAUGAAACUCUCAACCCCCCUAUUUUGUAAUGAGAUGGGUGUGGGCUUGGAUUAUGGUUGUCUGUCGGCGUAAUUGCCGGCUCAACUGAAAUACACGAGCAACCCUAUUGAAAUAAACGGUUUGACUUGGCGUAAUAAUUAUUUCGCUAAGGACGUUUUCUUCAAAUAUAAGAGGUGCUUCUAAUUCGCUUCUAAUAGCAUUUAAGCUUUAGACCUCAAAUCGGUCAGGACUACCCGCUGAACUUAAGCAUAUCA